AUUGAACGCUGGCGGCAGGCCUAACACAUGCAAGUCGAACGGUAACAGGAAACAGCUUGCUGUUUCGCUGACGAGUGGCGGACGGGUGAGUAAUGUCUGGGAAACUGCCUGAUGGAGGGGGAUAACUACUGGAAACGGUAGCUAAUACCGCAUAACGUCGCAAGACCAAAGAGGGGGACCUUCGGGCCUCUGGCCAUCGGAUGUGCCCAGAUGGGAUUAGCUAGUAGGUGGGGUAACGGCUCACCUAGGCGACGAUCCCUAGCUGGUCUGAGAGGAUGACCAGCCACACUGGAACUGAGACACGGUCCAGACGCCUACGGGAGGCAGCAGUGGGGAAUAUUGCACAAUGGGCGCAAGCCUGAUGCAGCCAUGCCGCGUGUAUGAAGAAGGCCUUCGGGUUGUAAAGUACUUUCAGCGGGGAGGAAGGGAGUAAAGUUAAUACCUUUACUCAUUGACGUUACCCGCAAAAGAAGCACCGGCUAACUCCGUG
RNAcentral lists this ribosomal RNA (490 nucleotides) under uncultured bacterium. RNAcentral describes it as "partial 16S ribosomal RNA". It matches the Rfam family "Bacterial small subunit ribosomal RNA", at positions 30 to 507 of the family's 1533-position model. The record is from RNAcentral.